UGCAUGCUUAACUCUUAUCCGCGCAUCCUUUAGUUGCAAGCAUAUUCAAUUUACUUAAUCAAGUCUCAUUCGAUAAAUCAACCUAUUGCUAAGUUUAAAUUCCACUGUGCAACUAUACAACUUAGCAUAAUUAAUUGAAAAGUGUUAGAAGUAGCUUAAAAGUUUUAUAAGACCCAAUUCACCCCCCCUCUUGGGUUGUAUCUACUGGGCAACAAGU
Molecule: long non-coding RNA, 217 nt
Filed under: Phoenix dactylifera (date palm)
Lineage: Eukaryota; Viridiplantae; Streptophyta; Magnoliopsida; Arecales; Arecaceae
Description: long non-coding RNA (PDAC_LNC015834)
Source: RNAcentral